AAUAUUGCACAAUGGGGGAAACCCUGAUGCAGCGACGCCGCGUGGAGGAAGAAGGUCUUCGGAUUGUAAACUCCUGUCAUUCGGGACGAAUAAUGACGGUACCGGAUGAGGAAGCCACGGCUAACUACGUGCCAGCAGCCGCGGUAAUACGUAGGUGGCGAGCGUUGUCCGGAAUUACUGGGCGUAAAGGGCGCGUAGGCGGUCUGCUAAGUCAGAUGUGAAAACCCCGGGCUCAACCUGGGGAUUGCAUUUGAAACUGGCAGACUAGAGUGUCGGAGAGGAAGGCGGAAUUCCUAGUGUAGCGGUGAAAUGCGUAGAUAUUAGGAGGAACACCAGUGGCGAAGGCGGCUUUCUGGACGAUAACUGACGCUGAGGCGCGAAAGCGUGGGGAGCAAACAGG
RNAcentral lists this ribosomal RNA (400 nucleotides) under uncultured bacterium. Its description in RNAcentral is "partial 16S ribosomal RNA". It matches the Rfam family "Bacterial small subunit ribosomal RNA", at positions 360 to 776 of the family's 1533-position model. The record is from RNAcentral.